RNAcentral lists this ribosomal RNA (252 nucleotides) under uncultured bacterium. Its description in RNAcentral is "partial 16S ribosomal RNA". It matches the Rfam family "Bacterial small subunit ribosomal RNA", at positions 524 to 776 of the family's 1533-position model. The record is from RNAcentral.
UACGAAGGGGGCUAGCGUUGCCGGAAUCACUGGGCGUAAAGGGCGCGUAGGCGGCCAUUUAAGUCGGGGGUGAAAGCCUGUGGCUCAACCACAGAAUUGCCUUCGAUACUGGAUGGCUUGAGACCGGAAGAGGUAAGUGGAACUGCGAGUGUAGAGGUGAAAUUCGUAGAUAUUCGCAAGAACACCAGUGGCGAAGGCGGCUUACUGGUCCGGAUCUGACGCUGAGGCGCGAAAGCGUGGGGAGCAAACAGG